GCGCGACCUAUACCCGGCCGUC
RNAcentral lists this non-coding RNA (22 nucleotides) under Arabidopsis thaliana (thale cress). Lineage: Eukaryota; Viridiplantae; Streptophyta; Magnoliopsida; Brassicales; Brassicaceae. The record is from RNAcentral.